This is an RNA transcript of Lynx canadensis (Canada lynx), 1511 nucleotides long. It is a transcript of the gene named peroxisomal biogenesis factor 3, with no coding region annotated. The record is from RefSeq and is a predicted model, not a curated record. Lineage: Eukaryota; Metazoa; Chordata; Mammalia; Carnivora; Felidae. The transcript is spliced from 13 exons.
GGCGGCGCGGCGGCAGCAGCAGAAAGCGCAGCUGCUCGCCUGUAGUCCACGCCCCCUCCCCGCCCCGGUGACAGUCUCUGCGGAAAGUCGCGUUUGUGAUUUCUGGAGAGCACCGAGCGGGACUACGGAGGUGCUGCCUGGUCGUUGGGGCCAAGUGACGAGGAAACGCUUUCCUGGCGAACAGCCCCUCCCCACCCCCGCCGCCCUUAGCCCGCACCUUCAGGGUCUGAAGAUGCUGAGCUCUAUGUGGAAUUUUCUAAAACGUCACAAAAAGAAAUGCAUCUUCCUGGGCACAGUGCUCGGAGGAGUAUAUAUCCUGGGAAAAUAUGGACAGAAGAAAAUCAGAGAAAUACAAGAAAGAGAGGCUGCAGAAUACAUUGCUCAAGCACGACGACAGUAUCAUUUUGAAAGUAACCAGAGGACUUGCAAUAUGACCGUGCUGUCCAUGCUUCCAACCCUGAGAGAGGCCUUAAUGCAGCAACUCAAUUCCGAGAGCCUCACGGCUCUGCUAAAAAACAGGCCUUCAAACAAGUUAGAAAUAUGGGAGGAUCUAAAGAUAAUAAGUUUCACAAGAAGUAUCGUAGCAGUGUACAGUACUUGUAUGCUGGUUGUUCUUUUGCGAGUCCAGUUAAACAUAAUUGGUGGAUAUAUUUACCUGGAUAAUGCAGCAGUUGGCAAAAAUGGCACUACAGUUCUUGCUCCCCCAGAUGUCCAACAGCAGUAUUUAUCAAGUAUUCAACACCUCCUUGGAGAUGGCCUGACAGAAUUGAUCACUGUCAUUAAACAAGCUGUGCAGAAGAUUUUAGGAAGUGUUUCUCUUAAACAUUCUUUGUCCCUCUUGGACGUGGAGCAAAAACUAAAAGAGAUCCGAGAUCUCGUGGAGCAGCAUAAAUCUUCUUCUUGGGUUAAUAAAGACGGAUCCAAAUCUUUGUUAUGCCAUUAUAUGAUGCCAGAUGAAGAAACUCCAUUAGCAGUUCAGGCCUGUGGGCUUUCUCCUAGAGAUGUCACCACUAUUAAACUACUCAAUGAAACCAGAGACAUGUUGGAAAGUCCAGAUUUUAGUACAGUUUUGAAUACAUGUUUAAACCGAGGUUUUAGCAGACUGCUAGACAACAUGGCUGAGUUCUUUCGACCUACUGAACAGGAACUGCAGCGUAGCAACUCCAUGAGUAGUCUUUCCAGUGUCAGCCUGCCAUUAGCUAAGAUAAUUCCAAUAGUAAAUGGACAGAUCCAUUCAGUUUGCAGUGAAACACCUAGUCAUUUUGUUCAGGAUCUGUUGAUGAUGGAGCAAGUGAAAGACUUUGCUGCUAAUGUGUAUGAAGCUUUUAGUACUCCUCAGCAACUGGAGAAAUGAUUUCUUUUCCUUCAAGAAAAACUACAAUGGAAUUCAUUUACUUUUAAAAAUACACUGAAUGAAUCAACUAUAUAUAGGCAGUAUUAACCCAGGAUUUCAUCCAAGGAAUAUUUGAGACUGAACAGGUGUGGCCUUGUAAAAAAAAAAAAAAAAAAAA